Molecule: long non-coding RNA, 10761 nt
Organism: Tympanuchus pallidicinctus (lesser prairie-chicken)
Lineage: Eukaryota; Metazoa; Chordata; Aves; Galliformes; Phasianidae
Exons: 2
Source: RefSeq, a predicted model, not a curated record
AGCACACAGGGCAGAGCCCAGCUCUGCUCGGCAGCGUCCGACCACAGGAAUGUAAUUACAGGAGCCAAACCCGAGCAGCUGCUCCCACCGCGCCCCGGCGAGCGGCACCCCGGCUCUCGCACAGCCACCUUUUCCCAUCUGCGCGCUACUUGUGGCUCAGAGUGAAAACUCCUCACGUCCCGGCACCGAAGUGACGCCGCAAACCGGGAGCCGCCGCUGCUCCCCGGCCGGACGCGAGAUGGCGCGCGGGAUCGCGCUGCGGGAUCGCUGCCUGCAGCCCCGGCCGACGCUUCCCGGGGUGAAAGGUCCUCCCCCGUUGGGGUUAGUUGGCCUCGCCCUGCUGAAUUGAACUGUUCCGCAGAAGCUUUGCCGUGUAAUUCAGAGUUUCCGAGGGGAAAGCAGACCCCACGGAGCUGGGUCACGUUGCUGCUUCCGUCCCUGGCUGCCUGGAGAUACAGCUGGAUGGACUGAGGCUUAUCGGGGAAAAUGGAUGUGGUCAGGAUGUGAUAAGGCAAUCAAAUCCAUCUCCAGAGCUGCAAGAAAAGGAUGCAAUGUAUAAUUUAUUUGGCACUUUUCGUCUCCCUGUUUGCAGAUUGCUUGGUUUCUAAAUAUAUUUGUCCAGUUAUUCAAAAUUACUCAUGGAUCUCUUCAGUGAGUAAUACUUGACCUGCAGAUCAUCCAAAAAGUGAAUAUUGCAAUCAGACUCUCAGUUUCUGCUGUUGUUUCUUGUAGCUAACAGAUGUGUGCGACUUAGGUAAUCAACUCAGGAGGAAACUCCAAUUUGAUUAUGAUGUUUGCAGUUCAGUUUCCACUGUGCCCGCUCAAGAAGUCACCAGUCAGGAGAUGGCCGAAAGGAUCUCAUCUCUGGCACAAAGCAAGGGCUGCCUUUUCCGCUCACUACAGACACAGAGCUGCUGCAGGGGGAGACUGAGUGCAGCCUCACGGACCCGCAGAGUCACGGCCAACACACAAAGACUGAGCACCAAAAGAUAACAGCUUUCCACUUCCACAGGUGCAAAAUGAGACUUACACCAAAGGUGUCCUCAUCACCAAGGUCUCUGAUAACUCUUUCUCCAGGAAGAGACAUUAAAUUGGAAAAUACCUUCACAUCGCUUCCUCAGGCAGCCCGUCCCAGUGCCUCCCCGCUCUCUCAUUAAGUUCUUCCUAACGCCCAAUCUAAACCUCUCUCAUCACAACUUGAGACUGCUUCCUCACAUCCAAUCUCUUGCACCUGCCUGAAUCAACCCUUGGGUGCUUCGGUUCUUCUUCCGAUUUGCCAUCAGACUGCAGAGGCCUCCAGGGACCCCAGCGUUAAGCUGCUCUUUGCCCCCACCAGCAUUAAAUGCAUUCUCUUAUUCCCAUUUUCGUUUGUGAAUGGAAGUUUAAGGUCUCACUUAAUCACAUAAUCUCCAAAGCAGGAGCUUUAGGAGAUCCGUCAGCCACGGCAAAGCUCUCACUACUACACCAGGGUCAGAAAGAGCAGUGUUGCCAUCUAGGGACUUGCUGCGAGCUUUAAAAAAGAGAGAGGUUUCUUUGGAUGAGAUGCUUCAAUUAUUCCAUAGGAGUAGUGGCAGUUCGCUUGCUCACUGUAGGUGUGCUGGGGAGGAAGGGGGUUUUGCAAAAUGGCCUUUUAGGCUUGGCUUUUGUUUUCCUGCCAUGCGAGGAGCCCUGCCCCGUGUGCAUGCAGCCAGCAGCUGCUCCACUGCAAUCUCAGCUCCAGGACUGCAGCCAUCCCCACACCCACUGCGCCUGUUGCUCACUGAUGCUGCUCUCCAUGUUCACUGAAAGUAAUUUUUCAGUGGAAGAAAAUGGAAGGAGGAUUUGCUGCUUCUGCCCUGGCAGGAGGGUUUAUACAUGAGCAAAUGGUUUGUAACAAAUGCAGUGUAAGAUCGAUGGAGCUGCUCCUCUGUUCACAAAUUGUUCACUGUCCAUGGGCUUCAAGAUGAAGAAAAUUUUCCCUUGUUUUGUAGAGCACACACACAUACACCUUUUCUCAUUACUAUUAUUUAUAUAUGCAUUCACUGAAAAAAAAAAAACACUUCUGAGAACACCUUUUGCAGAAUUAUUUUGGCUCACCUCUUGUUACAGUUGUAAUCUGGAGAGAGGACAAGUGUCAGGUAUUUUUUUCCCCCAUUUCUCCCUUCUUUUUUGUUUUUUUUUGUAAUUGUCCUAUGAGCCUUCUGUCACGGGUUUGAGCCUUUGGGCACUGGGAGGUCAUAAGACUUUGGCCCCCCUUUCCCUGUGCAGUGAGUGUGGCGUGGAGCUGCUCCCGAGUGGUGCUGGGGUAGCACAGCUCCUCCUGCCUCACUCCACCAAAGCCCCGGGUUCUUCACAGGGAGCCCUAAAACCUCCAGUUCUCCAUGAAGCUCUGAAAACAACCCCCCACACCACGGCAUGCUGCAGGCUGAAGCCCUUGUCUAUUUCUACUGCUGGGGUGGUUUUGUUUCCUGGAUAAAGCUCUCUUUUCCUAUUUCCACAGCUGGAAUGGAAAGGCACUGCCGUGCCCUUGGCAGUGGGCAGCUGUGCUGCUGUGUGUGGGAUGUGAAGCCCCCCCUGGCCCAGGUAAGUGAGGCUGCUCCAAGCCCAGCUCCUGCCCUAUCUGCGUCCUGCAGGAGUCAAAAGCCCCAUGAAACAUGCAUUGCUGCAGCCUGCCUAACAAAACCUAGCAGUUCAUUAAAAAGAAGGAAAAUAUCAUAUUUUUGCCCUGAAGAUCCAGGCAGUGCCAGGUGCUAAGUAGGUCACUAUUCAAAUCCCUGUCUUUGUUCCAGAUGUGGGCAUGUGUGCAUACUCUACAUAUUGAUUUGUGCAAACCAUGUAACAUACACAGAACUCAUUGGCCUGUGAGCUCAGCAAACACACAAUUGCUCUGCAAAUCCAUCGCUGGUAGCAGCAGUUGGGUUGCUUGCUCAAAUAAAUGCAUUUGCAAACUCUUCUGGGCCUGCUUUAAAAACACCAGCUUAUUUGCAUGGUGCAGUGCAGCCAGCUCUGCUCCACAGCCCUACAGCCUCGAGCUCAGGUGCUUUCAGGUUUUUACAUACAGCAAUUCUGAACACAAGCGUAUUUUUGCAAACAUAACUACCAAAAAAAAAAAAAAAUCUCUUUUGAUUUGUAAUUUAUGAGCAACUCAUUGUUUUGCAAAGCAGGAGCUGAUGUGGCACCCUUAGCUUGUGCAGGUUGGUUACCUGCUCAGCACCUCCCGGCUUGCCCCACAGAGCAGACCCAUGCCAUCUUGUUCUCCCCACACAGAUUUGUGCUGCCAUCUUGUACACCUCAUUCAGAUUCAUGCUGCCAUCUUGUUCUCCCAACAGCUGCUUCUGUGUCCUCCUGCUCCACCAGCGCCCUGUAAAACAGCCCCACGAAGCAGCCAUCCCCAGUUUAAGCCCAUCCUAAUCAAUCAGAGGUUGUUGUAUGGGUCAAAGAGCGAACGACCCGCCUGUCUUUUUCCAGCCUGCCCAGAUACACACUGUGAUGGGGAAGGCUGGGAAUCUGAUACGGGCUGCAGCCCAGCAGUGCUCAUGGGGAGAGAAGUGCGGCUCCGGGUGAGGAUCUCUGUGGCAGUUAUAUGACUAAUCCCGACAUCUACGGAUGUUUUCCCCUGCGCCUGUAAGAGUUAUGUGAUCCUAAGCUUCCUCGAGGAAAACAAGCCCAUUCUGUCUAGAUGACUAAGUGCUAGCAGAAAGCAAGUAUAUGUUUCCAUAUCUGAUGAGAGACCAACAUGUCCAAGAGAACAGUGCCCCACGGAAAAGCUCACCAAAGCCACUGAAAGCUGGGCACCUGAGAACAGCUAGGUGCUCUCAAAAAGCAGCUGGGAGCCAGAAAAGCAGGAGCCCUUCUGGUCCUUUGCUCAGGCCAACAUAACCCGGGGACUGGGAAGGGCAAACAGGUGUUAAAUGUCCCUGGGGCUUCUCGGAAAAUAGGCAAUGUCAAAGCUCUAGCUCCCAGUGCUUUGGGAAAGUCACACCAAGGGUUCAUGGUCCCCAUCUCCACGCUGCUCGCUUUCCGAUUUCACUGGGAAGAUAUUCAAGUACGCAGAGUUCAUUUGUGCUGGCAGCAAAACUCCAAACCCAGAGAUCUCCGACCAAUGUACAAUGCAAUGUACACAGAGCACAUUGCCCACAGCCCACACGUGGUGAGGAAAAGUGUCACUGGUGGCUAAAGGCAGAAACACCUCACAUGGUGAAGGUUUCCCCCUCUGGACCGCCCUGGAGCAUGGUUUCCUCCUCCCAUGCUGAGCUGCAGUGAUGGAGCAUCAUCUUCUCAGAGCCAGUUUGGGUUGGUUACCAACCGCUGGAUCUGCACAGCAGUACAGGAGAGCAGCAGACAGAAGGGCGGCGGUGGCCCCAGUCACUCAGUGUCCCUCAGAGAUCUGAUUCAGUUGAGCAGCUGCAAUUAACUGCCAGCACUCACGAGUUCAUCCACAUCCAUUCUGUGAGCCCGUGACUUCCUAUGGAUCUAAACUUUCACUUAACAAUGAAGUCUUUUUGUGGCACUGCACAGAACAGCUUGACGUUUCUCAAAUUUAUUUACAUUUAUACCCAGAAGAUGAGCUGAUGUGGUGCAAGGUUGAUUAUUAUUUAUAGUCAGCUCAUAACUCCUAAAAUACGCUUGGAGGCCUGGAUUGGAGCUUCUCCAGUGACUCGGUUUGACAACACUGACAGAAGUCUUUAAGGACAGCACUGUAACUUUCUAGAAGACCCAAAUCGAGAACAUUGUUCUGUAUUGUGCAAGAAUGAAAUUCAGUUGUUCUCAACUAAAAUAUGAUCUCUGGCUCAAAGCAGUUAAUCGCUACACCAUGGGAUUCACAGAGCACCUGCAGGGCAGGUAACUGCCCCGGGCAUUAACGUCUUCAAUCGAAUCAGGAAGAUCUGCACUCUUCCCACUAAACUGCCAAACCAAGGUGCUCUUUACACCUGGCCAAUACUGAGAGAUGCAGACGGACUGAGAACCUGUUGGCUUCAGAAAUAAGCUGCAGAAAUAAGCUACAGCAUCUGAGAGUCAGCAGGGAGCUAAAGCUCAGCUGUGGCUCAGAAGUACAGAAAACACUUCUGGCAAGGCUGAAUCAAUCUGCUGCAGACUGCCCAGAGUUCACAGCCAGCAGCAGAACCCGGUCGCCCCGUCUCUGUGCUUGCGUGCAGGAUGCUUAACAUUAUGGUCUAUUGAAAAUCAAAGGGGAAUUUGUUUUAGUUUGUAAAAUCUGUAUGCAAGCCUAAUUUUGACCAGCAGCAACUUCAGUGAGUAGGCUGGUGUAACAUUUUCACAUGAUUUGUACUGGAGGAAUAUAUACUUCUAUAUCUAUAGAAACACCCACAGAAAUUCUUUUAAAGAAUCACAAUAGUUGGAAUGUGAGAUCUCACAGCUCUCGAGGCUUUCUGCUCCAAUGGUGGGUGAACCAAACUCCAGAGUAUGGACAAUGAGAAUUAAGUGUUUUACUUGUAUACGCAUGCCUUACUUCUAAAUGGAAGGUCACAUACCUUAACUGAACUGUACAACAGAGAAGACUCAGCUAAAGGCAGUAGAACUGGGGGAGUGACAGGUCAACCUCAGAUGCUCCUGUGGCACACAGAAAUCGGAUAAAGUUCAGCAGAAUUGACAACAAAAAGGCAGCGAUAGCCAGCAAACAUCUAACUUGAAUUCCAAUGGUGACAGAGAAGGAAACCAGCACAGAAAAGGGCAAUGACUCACCCAGAGUCAGAACUGAAAUGCGGGUGCCCAAAUCGUCAUCCGUUGUACCACAUUCCUCACUGAGCUGCCACCUCUUGUUCCCACCGACAGGACUAAACCUCCCAGGCUGUUGUAUUGUUGGGCACAGCUCUCCAAGCAGCAAUUUCACCCAGUUUAAUAAGACUGCAAGAAUGGAAUGUAAUUAACUGUAUUCUGGCAUUCAGUAGUUCCUUAUGCUGUCUUUUUAUAUAGUGAAGUGGAGCCAGCCCAGGGGAGCUCAGUGCAUGCAUUGUACCCGAGUGACUGGAAGGGAUGGAGCCAGGAUCUCCUCCUUUGCAGCCCUCAUCUAAGUGCUGGCAGUGGAGGUAAGGGGAUCUCACUGGAGAUACCUGCAUACCUGAGGCCUUCCAAAGGCAAGCAGUUUUUCUUCCUCUGUUUCUGCAUCCAGGGCUGCUGCAGUUGGGCUUGUCCUCAUUUGCUGCAGCCUAGGAUUGUGCCCCUCUCUACUGCUGCUGCACUUUCCAUCACAUUGCAGGAAUUAUUAUACUCUGACAAGGAAAAAAGGUGGGUUUCCAGGUUGUUCUCAAUUGCAUUAAUCUUACUGCUAUCAGCCUCUCAAAGAAGCUUCUCCAAGAAGGUACUAAACCAUAAUUAAGGCACUGCAUUCCCAGAGAUCUCUUUUGUUUUAUGCUAUGGGUAAUCUUUAAGCUAAGGCGAACACGGAAUGCAGCUCAAUGAGCUCCAUGAGGGCACGGGGCUGACAGCCUGUUUGAACAUAAUGGUGCCUCUGCUCUCAGAGGAGCAGAGUCUCUGAUUUUAGGCCUCUGAAGCGCUCAAUUACCGAACAAAAACUACAGCGAGUUCCCUCAAAACUGCAGCCACCGAUGUUACGGAUUGUUUUCAACAAACAAAAGAUGACAGAAUAAAGGAUGGGGGUAGGGGAAGUCUGCACUGUAUGCCAAGGUUUUUCUAAAAAUAUUUUACACCUGCUAUUCGUUGCGCACACUGCUCAUAUUUUGUCUGUGAGGUAAAGAACUCGCAGUGCCAAGGAGAACAUGGUUUAUGUUCCUGAAGCCUUAAUGCUUUUUCCCUUCUGCGAGGCGAAACUCCUUACUACCUUCACUAAAAUAAAGCCAAGAGGACAAAAGUCACACAUACGCUGCCACAGUAACAGUUUAACCAUGCCUCUCGCAGGGCUUUGGAAACAGUCCCUUCAGCAGGAUUUUACUGCUCUGGCACUUCAAUUUAGCAAACUUUUUAUGCAGCUCAUGAGAGGAAUGGAGCCAACUCUGUACACUCAAUUUAAAUCAACUUGCUGAUGGUAGAAAAAAGAAUGCUGAACCGUCGGUUUGCUUCAUCUGCUCCAAAACUACCAACACAAACUCUGGGGUAUUUAUUACUGAAAGUUAAUAGAACAGUCUGGGGCACGAGCUCAGUGAAUGAACUCUGGUUUGAUCCCAAGCCGGCUGAAAGAGCUGAUUUAACAACUAGUUGUUUGGUUACUUGAUGUUUCCGAAGCGCAGCAGGACGGUUUGCUGUCGCAGGCCGCUGUGUUUGUGGUGCAGGGGAGCACAGAGCCGUGCUGCUGCCGGGCGAGCAUCUGCCUGUGGCCUGCAGCAAGAUGGUACCAGCGAUGCUCCAGAGCCUGCUGAUUUUGCACAGUGAAGAGCAGGGAAUGAUCCUUUGUGACUGGAAUUACAGUUUGUGUAAGUUGUGACUGUUUGCUUGAAGCUGAGAGAACCACAAAAACCUGCACUCACCGAGACUGCAAAGCCAGGCCAGCCCAUGGCCUCCGGGUUCACCGCCGCAGGUGGAAUGUGAAGAACAUGGCGUGGCAAUGAAGCACGAUGCGCUGUGAACUUGACCCAUGAACCGGCUCUCCCUCAUGAAAACAAUCACAUCAUUUAAUUUCGGCUACUACAUCGAGAUCCAGAGUGAGCUCUGUCAUUCGUCCACACAACAAACGCAGCCCAGACCGUAGCUGUCAAGCCCUCCCUGCCCCGCCGUGCCAAGCAGACCCUGAACUCAAUUUCACUGAUUCCCCCAUUACAAUGCUCGAAAGCAAUCAACUUGUGCUGAACUGAGUCAGCCUUACAAAUGAACGUGCGGCCACCCUUAUCAAUGGCCACACCAACGCUCGAACACUAAUCUUGUUUUAAUGUAGCAUGAUUGUUUAAAAAAUCUUAAUAGGAAAAGCAAAUUAGUACAGCCUUCACUGCAGUUAUAACUGUGUCUUCGUAGGGUAGCAGGCAUGGCUUAGGUCUGUCAAAUCCCACAAAUCUGGCAGAUUUAAUAAUUAUUAUUUCAGGUUUUGCGCCCUGUUUAAUUAAGAGAGGAAGAAUGGACAUUUUAACAAAUUAACAGACAGUGGGAGAAAACAAACCCCGGUAAUUACUGAUUUUGACAUUUUAUAAAACCAGUAAAAAUACCUUGAAAAUUCCGCCUUGCAUGUUUGAAGAGAUCUACACCAAAGAUGGGUGUGAGCAGUAACUACUGGAGGAGGUGCUGCCGUAAACGUGGGCCUGCAGCCACUCUGACACUGACAUGGCUGCAGUCAGGUCUGGUUCUGGUUCAGAAGUGAAGCACAACACUGUUGCUACCUCAGCUCGUUGCAGGGAUCGGUUUUUGAAACUCGUGCUGCAGACUCUGAGCGAAGAGACAGGAUGCGCUAUGGGAGACGCAUACUUACAGCAUCGCCUUUUCUUCACUGCAAAUAAAAGACAUCUUCUGAGGUUUAACUGGCACCUGCAAUUGUAAGGAAGCAAACUGCAUGCUCACAAGAGAAAACACAAGAGAACUCGCACAACUGAGCAAUGCUUCCUUCUUUCACCUUCACUCCAUUGAGGCCCUUUCUCUGAAAGCUUACCUGAGAGCACGGCUGCAGGAACAGAGCACUGGGUGCAUGCAAAUCAAACGAGACUGACUGGGCACUCAUUCAGAACAGUAUGCUGCAAAGUCCAUGUUUGAGCUAACAAGUUCAGCACUAAGCUUUAGUAAAAGAUGAUAAAUAAGUGGAUGAAGUGGACUGAACAGAAAACAGUAAAAGCUUUAAUUUCUAGAAGGAGAAGGAGAACACAUUAAAAAUGUUAUUUGCAUUCUACAAGAACACCAAAUGCUUUUUCUCCAGAUUGUCUCCUUGCAAAGCACCAUAAACAACCCAAGAAGGACAAAAACCUGCUUGUUAAGAUCUGCUUUAUAUUACGAGGUGCUGCUGUAUGCAGUCACAUAAAAAAUAAUAAGCAUCUUUUUUUUCCAGAGUUUUCUCCCAGCAACAACUGCCUUCAUUGCAGAGCUGGUGAUGGUGACAGUGAACAAAUCAGAAGGGAAAGAGGGUAGUACUGCUGGAUGGCCUUUAAAACAAAUGAUCUUAGCUUAUUAUCACAGGAAUAUAAUUACAGAACACAGCCUCCACCAUCACAGCUGCUCAACCUCUUUGCCAGGUUAGCGAUAACUACACUGUGAUUACUAAACUUAUAGGAGCCUUAAACUUUAGCCAUAUAAACAGAGUAACACACAAAUCAAACAUUCUGCAUGUUUCAGUAUUUGUAAAAAUUACACACGGCUCAGGGGCCUUUUAGAAGCAAAAGCACACACUUAAAAUUAGUGAUAACGCUUUUAAGUACAGCUCUGCCCACUGAUGUGCCGUCAGAGAAAAGAUAAACCAGAUGGCAAACUCAAUAAAAAGCAGCAGACAGAUGAAUGCCUAAAAAAACGUUCACUCCACUAUUGCUUUGGAAUUGGUUGUCAUGGCAUUACAAAUUGACAGCACGGCCAGCCUCACACCUCCAACCCAUCCAUUUGCUAGAGCAAUACUUGUCACAGCUUCACUCUGGCCAAAGCAAAGACCUCAGUGCUGUAGAAAUACACUCCUCCUCACAGCCAGGUUAUUUCCACCAAAUCUCUGUUCGACUCCCACCAAACUGGGUGGGUGUGUGUGUGGCACAGGGCUGGCGCUGGGACAACUCACGCCUUUCACAAAAGCAAGUGCAUCAGACAAGCAAAGGAUGAUCUGCAUUCUCAAACACCGAUUUCAGAACCGUAAAGUUCAGGCAAUUUUAACACCGUGCUCCUUUUGUAGCUCAGAAUUCCUUGCUGUGAGCCAAAGCACAACCCACUGAGCACACAUCUUCUCUUCGUACAACUGGAACUGGGAUGGAAAACAAGUUGCUGGUUAAGAGUUCGGCAUUAAGUAAGCAAGUUUCUCUUCCCCAUGACAACAUCUGUUAGCAAGGAACAGCAUUUGUCAAAAAGACAGAAAAGAGAAAGGGAUGCCAUGGAAAAUCUGGUUUUUGUCACCUUCUGAGUUCUUUGUCCUCCCACUCACGUUCAUGUUUUGAAAACCUAUGAAGUUCAAGUUGGUGAAAUCCACUAGAACAAAAACCUUAGAUUGCCACACUCUAGUUGCAUUACAUUUCUCAUUUUAAUAGAGGCAUAUAAGAUGGAAGUUUACAAUGAGCGCAGUAACCGUACAUCAGCACUUCUAUUCAGCUGAGCUUCUGAGUUACUCAUCCCCGGUACAGAACCAGAACGCUGAUGCAUUGUCUGGGACCUGCCGAGAUAAUAGCUCAAAUCCACUGCUUACACAGAAAGCGAGCUUCACUGAAUCACCUGAGCACCUUCCAGACAGCUCACAUCGCGCAGCAGCUCCGCACUCACACCGCUCGUAGCCUGAACUCUCAAGGCAAAAACAACUCACCGCCUUUUGACUUCAGCAGGCCACAGAAAACAAGCAAACAUUCGCUCAGUUCAUCAGGCAGCGCUGCCAGAAGCGUCUCAGGAUGCAACCAUCACUGUGGUGCAGCAACGUGGAGCCCCUCCAUGGCUCCUUGUGCUGCACCCAGCCACUCUGCUGCGCGAGGAGCGCUGCGACCUUCAGCACGGCAGCAGCACAGACCACAGCAGCCGAGUAAUUUUAAAGGAUUUUAAUACAAACUUAAUAUAAACUAUUUCAGUCCCUCUUAACAUGUAAGACACUGACUCAAAAUACUUUUAUACCUUUUUUCAAGUAUUGCACAAUGUAGGUACAAAAUUAAUAUUUACGAUUACAUUUUCUUCCAUAAUAUAUAGCAAAAAUCUUUAAACUUUUAACAGAAAAUACAA